GCCCUCUCCAACAUACAUUGAAUAUAAUUCUGCACCACUCAAAGAAAAAAAGGAAGCUUGGGCAGCGUUAGCUGCAGCUUUAGCUAGAGUAGUUUUUGAGCAUCCUGGAGGCCCAUGCAGAAGGACACCACGAAUAGGUGAUAUACCCAUCCUUGCAAAUGCAGCAGAAUGUUUAAUAGGCCACUCAACAGCCUGUUGGAGCUUUUUCUUCAAAUCCUUUAAUCCACCAAUAUCUGCCCAAGAUACCUUGGGGAUUUCCACAGUAACACCUCUUGUUAUGCUAGGGC
This 287-nucleotide unclassified non-coding RNA is filed under the name Hevea brasiliensis (rubber tree). The record is from RNAcentral. Lineage: Eukaryota; Viridiplantae; Streptophyta; Magnoliopsida; Malpighiales; Euphorbiaceae.